AUUUUAUACGACGAGUGAGUGAUACGAUGUAGGGUUAUGAUGUCUAUACUCGACAUUUGCCUGUGGUGUUGAUGGAUUUCAUGGAGAUUUAUUUGCUUUUCUGCUGUAUUUUUGUUAUGAAGCUAGCCUUGAGCUACACAGACAAAAGAGACACUAGAAGCUUCGGGAGAAGACCAGACGUGCAACGAGAAGGCCACAAGGUACUAGGGCGCGCCCAGGGGUAGGCGCGCCCUAGUACCUUGUGGCCCCCCUGUGGCUCCGUUUGACCUAAUUCCACCUUUGUAAAUUCUCCAAAAUUGGGAAACCAACAUAGAACCACCCAAAAUACUUUUUCCGCCGCCGCAAGUUUUUGUUCUUUGGAGAUCCCAUCUGGAGGCCUUUUCCGAUACUCUACCGGAGGGGGAAUCGACCACGGAGGGGUCUACAUCAACCUUGCCGCCCUUCCGAUGAUGGGUGAGUAGUUUACCACAGACCUACAUGUCCAUAGCUAGUAGCUAGAUGGCUUCUUCUCUCUCUUUGAUCUUCAAUAUAAUGUACUCCUCGAUGUUCUUGGAGAUCUAUUCGAUGUAAUCUUCUUUUGCGGUGUGUUUAUUGGGAUCCGAUGAAUUGUGGGUUUAUGAUCAGAUUGUCUAUGAAUAUUAUUGGAGUCUUCUUUGAACUCUUU
Non-coding RNA from Aegilops tauschii subsp. strangulata, 664 nucleotides. The record is from RefSeq and is a predicted model, not a curated record. Lineage: Eukaryota; Viridiplantae; Streptophyta; Magnoliopsida; Poales; Poaceae.